GCCGGGCACUGUGGUCUAUGCCUAUAAUCCCAGCGACUCGGGAGGCUGACGCAGAAGGAUUGUUUAGGGACAGCCCGGGCAAUUUAGUGAGAUUCUUUGUCAA
RNAcentral lists this small RNA (103 nucleotides) under Marmota monax (woodchuck). Lineage: Eukaryota; Metazoa; Chordata; Mammalia; Rodentia; Sciuridae. The record is from RNAcentral.